Alligator mississippiensis (American alligator) is the source of this 4575-nucleotide long non-coding RNA. RefSeq lists it as uncharacterized. Lineage: Eukaryota; Metazoa; Chordata; Crocodylia; Alligatoridae. The record is from RefSeq and is a predicted model, not a curated record. The transcript has 2 exons.
GGCUUGGUGACGCCCCGGUCGUGACGUGAGUGGGGCGCGGUCUGGCUCUUGCCCGCGGGUGGUUCACGCCCUCGCCGCAGGGGUGGUUGUCGCCGCCCCGGAGCCCGCGCUCCACGAGGGGCCCAGGAGACACGGCGGCUCAUGCCGUUCUCACCCGAGAGCAGUGGCCUGGCGGGGGCGCCUCCCGGGGGGACGGGGCAAGGGGCAGGGGACAGCCCCCGGCGGGGUCGUGCUGCUCCGUGGUGCGGAGCCAUCCUGAGAAACGCCGGCCUCUCCCUGUCCCUCCUCCCGACCCUGUCAGCCCCCCAGCCACGGCCCGCGGGACAGGGACCACCCGGGGUGGAGGCGUCACAGCCUGCCCCCGCUCUCUCUGUCCCGCCGGGUGACCCUAGGAGCAGCACCCCGGGGUGAGCCGUAGCAACUGUGGCACGUCAGGACGGCGUUGUUUCCUGGGUGCAGGCUACGAGUCUCGAGGGAGCCGAGACCUGGCUGCGCCUUGCUCUGCACAUGUGUAUCGUCUCUGGCGCGACUUUCCGAAACUCUCUGUGGCAAGUUAGGCAAGCUGAGAGAAAAGAGAAUGCUCUGGACAGAGCGUGUGGUAUCUUCUUAAAAAAUGAAGAUCAUUUUCUUGGAACACUGGCAGCUGCUGCUGUGGAGAAAAGAGAAAUGUCUUAUAAUACAGAAGAAUAAAUCAACGGUCUCAAAAGGUCAUUUAGUCCUACCUUCCUCAAGAGACAAGGCCCUCCUGUGGACAGGAUUUGAUUCUGUACAGGGAAAUGCAUUUGGAUUUCCAGUCCAGUCGUGUAACCACUCAGGCAUUGCAGGUACUCAAAAUGUAGGUGUGUGUUAAGGUGGGGUACUGAUAUCCAACGUGGCUGGAUCUUCUACUGUGACUCAGCUCUGUACAAUUUAGUGCUUGAAGACAAGAAACUCUCUCUCUACUGGAAUGCUGCAUGUAAAGUGUUAGACAGAGCAGCAAUGAUGGUCUCUGGGUAGGUCAAUGAAUGGAGAUUCAGGAGGCCUAGUGUCAGUCCCGGGCUUGGCCACAGAUUUGCUUUGUGACCAUAGGUACAGCACCUAAUUUACCCAUGGUGUCACUUCCCCAUACAUACCUAUAUCAAUUCCUGCUUCCACUGGUAAGAAGGGAUCUUUCACUUCACCAUCUUCUGAGGCUGAUUCCACCUGGACCAUGGGAAGAGUAAAAAGAGUCAGGUUGGAUUCUGUUUGAUCUGUGCUCCUCAGGAUUACACAGCCACAGAAUGAGGGGCAGGCAGCAGUGGUGGGGCUCUCUUCCCAGCCACAGUUCCUGGUGAUGCCAUGAAUGACCAAGUGAAGUGUGGGUCAGUGGAUGGACUGAGGCCCCCUUCUGUCCUACAUUCUGAAGUCGGGCAUGCCACAGUCUUUCGUACAGAAGCCUCAGCUCAGCCCCUUCCCCACCUCCGCUACUUUUCCUCCUCAUAAUGUCUCCACAGUUUCUCUAUGCUUCCCCCUCCCUUGGGCUGUGUGAGUAUCUUUCCUGCCCAAUUCUGCACUUCCUAACACAUGCAAACUCCUCAUAGAGCUAGAGAAAGUACAAAGAAAGGCAAUCUAAAGGAUGCAAGGAAGGAAAGGAGAGGAAGCACUAAGUCUCAAAUGUACAAAGGGCUUCAUAGAUUAGAAGGGCAGAGAGAGACCAGAGCGAUCAGUUAGUUUGAUCCGCAGUGAAACAGCCUGCAAAACUUCAGCAAGUGCUAUCAGAAUCAACCCAAAUAAUUCCUGGUGAUGCUCCAGCCUGUCUUUUAGAAAUGAAGUCAUUUCAGACGAGGGACAAUUUAUCACACCCCUGGGUAAGUUGUUCCUGUAGUUAAUAACUUGUUGCAUAACAAGAAAAUAGUGUGCACCUUGUUCCUAAAACAAACCUGUCCAGUUACAUCUUCCAGCCACUGCAUUCUCUUCUGCCUCUGUCUGGAAGACUUAAGAGCCUUUACCAAUUAGAAACUUUCCCUAAAUAGAGAUGCUUUUAGCCCAUGAUCAAAUUGCUGAUAAACCUCUUUUUUAAGUUGAAUAAGUAGAACUUUAUUAGUCUCUCACACUGAGAGAGGUUUUCUAGACCUACAUACCUUCUUGUAACUUUUGUGAACCCUUUUUAGUGUAUCAACAUUCAGUUAAGCAUGAACAUGAGAACUGGAUGCAGCAUCCAAUAAGGAGUUAAUUAAUACCAUAGACAGUGGUAAUAAUGCCUUCAUACUUGUGAUCUACGUUCCCUUUCAAUACAUCCAAAGAUUUCAAUACCCUUCUUAAGUAACAAUUCCUAAGGUAAUGUAUUACUUUAUGUGAUGUCCAUGAUUUUAUGCACAUGCUUAAGUCUGCAAGAUGUGGGCCUAGGAAGGCUAUAUGCAUCACAGGUAACAACUAGGGUGUUCUCUGGGUAUAACUAGGGCAUUAUAGACAUUUUGUGGAAGACAGUGGGGUGGGGGGUGCUUAAAUUAGCACGGCUCUGAAAGCAUCAGUGUAACAGUGUCCAGAACAUCGUGCAUGGGCGCCAUUUUUCAGUGCAGGGACCUUGAUACAUGUGACACUGGAAUCUGCUGGAGUGCAGUAAUUAACAGACUCCAGCAGAUUCAAUGAAUCGAGUCUGCUCCAAGACACUGUAAUUACAGCACAUUGGAGUGGCCUCCCUUCAUGUAUAUAGAUUCCACUAGUUUUUAAGACAUAAUACAUAUGAUAGACUGGAGUAAAGAAAGAAUAAUUAGGGUAGAGGUUAGAAAAAAGCACUCAGUCCUACUCCAAUUGAAGCCAGUGGAAAAAUACCCCUUGACUUCAGGGAUAGUAAGAUUGGAGCCAGAGAUCUCAACAGCUAGAGCAACUGGGCUGGGGAAUGGAUUCCACUGCACACCUAAAGGCAAGAUCUGUGUAGAGGUUACAGAGCAGAAGUUAGAACUGAAUGAAAUAGUGAAGAGCCUGCAAAAUGCAAGGACUCAGCUGGGGGAGCCAAGAGACUUUUGGUAAUCCCAGGAAGUUGGGCCACAAAGGGUUUUACAAGAUAUUGACCUCAGACAUGUCAAAAGAAUCUUCUGUAUCCCACGCCUGGUGUAUGGCAGCACGAAUCUCUGUAAACAAAAACACAUCCAGUCAGUUCAACUGGGACUGGUUUCUAGUUUUACGUCUAAUGUUUUUAGAUGUUGUUUUAGCAUCGCUGCAGAACAGUGUCCUGCAAGCUUGUGUUCCAACGGGCCUGUCUAGGCUGCACUGUACCCCAGCAGGGAGUGCUGCAGUGAGAUGCACCAUGCCUGCUUCUGUGAAUGCCACCUUCCCAAACUGAUGCAAUGUAACCACCCACUAGUGUGGUACUGGCUGCAUCCAGGUCUAACUCUUGGGUGAGCCUACUCUUUCUCUCUUUAUACUGUCUUAUAGCUGGGUAUAUGAUGUUGGUUACCUCGUUCACAGACCACAUCAUUAUAUCUGUCAUUUUAUCAUUCAUUUCCUUGGCCUUGUUUCUCUGUAGCAGGAACAAAUGAGAGGGGACAAUAAAUGUGUUUAUUAAUUCCUCUAUUCUCCCUUCUUUACAUAGCAACAGCUGUCUACUGGGUAUGAAUCAAACAUUUAGCAUGAACAAUAACAGUCACCCAUGAAAAACACUCUGUGUAUGACCAGAGCCUUCUGGACAGGGUGGGAUAUAAAUCAAAUUAAAUAUAAAGAUAUAAAUAAAUAGCCAGUUCAGGAAAGGUCACUGAAUGACAAGUUAGGAUAAGCACUGUAUCCCCCUGAACACAUUUCUGAAGGGCCAAUGUGCAGUCUGGCCUCCUUUAGCUUUGAAGACCAUGGGAGAAAAUUCUGACUACCUUGAAGGCCAAGGGAGGUUUUUCAAGAAGUUUGUCACUGACUUCACCAGGGCCAGCAUUCCCCACCUUGAGCCUAGAGGUGACCUAGUUUUGCUGGUUUACCCUGUGGCAGAAAGCCACCUUUGUUUCCCUCCCAAAAACUCAGCUCUGUGACAAUUUUAAUUAGGAUGGACCCAGCCGAGAGAGACAUCCUUACCUUAUCUCUUUAGGUAACCUGAGCUGGAUACAUUCCUGAGGGAGGGGGGAAACCUGCUCCCUCUGCCUAGGUGACUAGUAUCGCAUAGGGGGGUGAGGGGCUUCCCUCCUGGUGGGCUAGAGUCUGCCCGGCAACUAGUGAUGUAUUUCAAAUUGGUUGGCUGACAACCAACAGGUGCUGACCUCCAUUGGACCAGGUAAAUGAGGUCACAAGGGCUAUAUAAGUUAAAGACUGCCCGGGACGGGGGGAGGGGGGGCAGCAGCCAUGAGGGAUACUCGGGAACAAAGAAGAACUGUACUAUCUGAAACUGGCUCUCACUCUCAAAAUUCAUGAUCAAAGAACUGCUUGCCUCCAGAGGGACUCUCCACCUGCCUCUGGAUGAUACUUGUGAGUAAGCUACCUGAGAUCCACCUAGAUCUAUAGCUUGCAGUAACUCAGAUGCAAGAUCAAAAGCUACCCCAGCCACAGGAGUUUGCUCUAUGGGAUUUCUCUGAUAUUGCUCUACCCUGUACUCUAUUCUAACCCUACCCUCUGUAACCAAUAAAGUUCUCCUUUGGA